Molecule: ribosomal RNA, 565 nt
Filed under: uncultured Glomeromycotina
Lineage: Eukaryota; Fungi; Glomeromycota
Description: SSU rRNA
Rfam family: Eukaryotic small subunit ribosomal RNA
Source: RNAcentral
UUGGAGGGCAAGUCUGGUGCCAGCAGCCGCGGUGGUUCCAGCUCCAAUAGCGUAUAUUAAAGUUGUUGCAGUUAAAAAGCUCGUAGUUGAAUUUCGGGGUUAGUAGGUUGGUCAUGCCACUGGUAUGUACUGGUCUCACUGAUUCCUCCUUCCUGAUGAGCCGUAAUGCCAUUAAUUUGGUGUUGCGAGGAAUCUGGACUGUUACUUUGAAAAAAUUAGAGUGUUUAAAGCAGGCUAACGCUUGAAUACAUUAGCAUGGAAUAAUGAAAUAGGACGUUCGAUCUUAUUUUGUUGGUUUCUAGGAUUGACGUAAUGAUUAAUAGGGAUAGUUGGGGGCAUUAGUAUUCAAUUGUCAGAGGUGAAAUUCUUGGAUUUAUUGAAGACUAACUACUGCGAAAGCACUUGCCAAGGAUGUUUUCAUUAAUCAAGAACGAAAGUUAGGGGAUCGAAGACGAUCAGAUACCGUCGUAGUCUUAACCAUAAACUAUGCCGACUAGGGAUCGGAUGAUGUUAAUUUUUUAAUGACUCAUUCGGCGCCUUACGGGAAACCAAAGUGUUUGGGUUC